This 911-nucleotide ribosomal RNA is filed under the name uncultured bacterium. Its description in RNAcentral is "bacterial SSU rRNA". It matches the Rfam family "Bacterial small subunit ribosomal RNA", at positions 547 to 1457 of the family's 1533-position model. The record is from RNAcentral.
GNAAUUAUUGGGCGUAAAGAGNUCGUAGGCGGCUGGUCGCGUCUGUCGUGAAAUCCUCUGGCUUAACUGGGGGCUUGCGGUGGGUACGGGCCGGCUUGAGUGCGGUAGGGGAGACUGGAACUCCUGGUGUAGCGGUGGAAUGCGCAGAUAUCAGGAAGAACACCGGUGGCGAAGGCGGGUCUCUGGGCCGUUACUGACGCUGAGGAGCGAAAGCGUGGGGAGCGAACAGGAUUAGAUACCCUGGUAGUCCACGCCGUAAACGUUGGGCACUAGGUGUGGGGGGCCUUUUCCGGGUCUUCCGCGCCGUAGCUAACGCAUUAAGUGCCCCGCCUGGGGAGUACGGCCGCAAGGCUAAAACUCAAAGGAAUUGACGGGGGCCCGCACAAGCGGCGGAGCAUGCGGAUUAAUUCGAUGCAACGCGAAGAACCUUACCAAGGCUUGACAUGUGCCGGUCGGCUCCGGAGACGGGGCUUCCUCCUUGUGGGGCCGGUUCACAGGUGGUGCAUGGUUGUCGUCAGCUCGUGUCGUGAGAUGUUGGGUUAAGUCCCGCAACGAGCGCAACCCUUGUCCCGUGUUGCCAGCACGUUGUGGUGGGGACUCGCGGGAGACUGCCGGGGUCAACUCGGAGGAAGGUGGGGAUGACGUCAAAUCAUCAUGCCCCUUAUGUCUUGGGCUUCACGCAUGCUACAAUGGCCGGUACAGAGGGCUGCGAUACCGUGAGGUGGAGCGAAUCCCUUAAAGCCGGUCUCAGUUCGGAUCGGUGUCUGCAACUCGACACCGUGAAGUUGGAGUCGCUAGUAAUCGCAGAUCAGCAACGCUGCGGUGAAUACGUUCUCGGGCCUUGUACACACCGCCCGUCACGUCAUGAAAGUCGGCAACACCCGAAGCCCGUGGCCCUACGGGGAGCGGUC